CAAAUUCCCUUGCCCUUCACGAUGUAUCCCACUUUUAUUCACUUCCAAGUUGCUUAGAUUCUCAAAAUUACACAUCUUUAUAAUCUUUUCAGGUACCCCUUUUUGCUGUUCCUCUGAUGAGAAAGGACAACCCAUAAACUCUGCCAAUUUCUUAAGAUACAAAACAGUAUCUUCAUUCAUUUCUUCAUAUUUCAAGAAGAUAAACUUGUCCGGAUGUUCCAAACUUGCUUUCCAGUAUCCCAGAACAUGGUCCCAAUAAGGUCCGUACCAACUUACGCCUUCACAAAAUAACUCAAACGCUUCAUCAAGUUCUAUGGGUUGAGUGUUUUGGGAUUUCGCAUACCUGGUACAGAUGUGAUACAUUGAAACAAAUGUAUCCUUGGGGUCCCUGCAAAUGUAAAUAAUUUUACAACCAGAAUCAAUUAUUGAUGUAGGUAAGAAAGAAUAAGGAGCAUGAGUGGCCAAGAGAGGAAUUCCAAGAUGUCGAUUAGCGGAAAAAUGAGCAUGAUCAAGCUCCAUGAAAGGCACAACAUCAUGAGGCAUCCUGAAAAGCAAAGGGGUGGUAGAAUCAUCGUAUGAAGUUCUUGUAAUAGUAGCGAAAGUGAGAGAUUUUAACCAGGCUGUGCCGGUUCUAGGGGCACUAGAAAGUAUGAUAUCAGUGGGUUGAGCCUCAAACUGUUGUUGAGCUAACAGGACUCCUUGUAGGAAAGGUGAGGUGAACCAAAAAUCUUGAUACUGAUAUAGAUGAUCGGGAAGACCCCAGCUGUUCCCUUUAGGGAGAGUAGAAAUCAUCUCUUUGAAAGAUUUCUGAAACUCAUCUUCGUUAUGUUGCUCAACAUGGGAAUCAAAGUGGGAUUCCAUGAUUAAUGAGUGCAAGUAGUAUGGAAACAAUGGCUUUAUAUAUAGGCUGUGUUAGAAAACAAACCGACUUUCAGCAUAAAAAUUGCAGCCAAAGAAUUUUUAUCCAAUUGGCUUUCAACCUCAUAGAAAACGUGGCCUGCCGAAUUUCAUGAAAAAUCAAGGACAAAGGAUAAUGAUGGCAGCAGCUUGAACAAUCUUAGACGGUAAGGCAUGAUAAAGUUUAAGUCGAUUUACUAUGCUUAUAAAAAUGUAAGUAGAGUCUCAUGAAAAAUGAAUUGAGUGUGUGCUGAAAACGUUAGCGAGCUUGAGAGAAAAAAAAAAGUGUUGUGAGUUAUAGAAGGAAAAACUACCAGCAGCUAGUAUAGAAAGAAAAAAAAAGUUUGUAUUAUAUUUUAUUUAUGUGUUAUUACGCUUCCAACAGGCUGAAAGAAUUAAAAUCACAUACGCAACUUUUUUGGACGUGGCGGCAGUGAAAGAGAUUUGGAGCGAGACGUGGAGGUGGUGGGUCCUGUCUUAGGGCAGCAGUCGGCCAUAAACCACGAACAAUCUCGUCAGCCCAAUGGGGGACUCCCAUUUGAAUUUCGUGCAUAUCCCAUUCAAUUUUUUAUUUAACAUUAAUAAUUUUCAAUUUUAAUUUCGACGUCAAAAAAGUUAUUGGAUUAGUUUUAAGAUUUUACGCUAUUUUCUUUUUUACUAUAUUCGUUAGGUAAUUAUUCAAUAUACUGGAGGGUGUAAACUCCUUGUACAAGGUUAAAAAGUUGGCAUGGGUUUCAUUUUCUAUAUAAUUAAUUUUUAUUUUUUACUAUAUUUUUAUAUACAUGUUAUCCUCUUAAUUUUGCUGGUAGAGUUCAAUAACAUCACUAGCUGUAUAGAAUUAGAAAUUGUUUUAGGCAUGUGAAAAUUACUAAUAUAUAUUUAAAAAUAAUAUACAAUAAAUAUUAAAAUAUAUAAUUUAAAAUUAAUUAAUAAUAACUUAUAAAAAUAUAUACAAUAUCAAUUUCGACAUUAACAAAACUUUAUUUUUAAAAUUUUGCACUAUUCUUUUACUAUAUCUAUUACGUAAUUAUUCAAUAUAUCAGAAAGAGUUUAAUUUUUUUUGUAUAAAUCAUUUUUUAUCUUUUUACCACACUCCAUCAUCACAUGUUAUCUUCUCAAUUUGUAGGUUUUAACAACUUCACUAAGCUUUUAAAUUUUAAAUUUUUAUUUUUAAUUUUAAUAAAUAUGUAUUUUAAUUUCAUAUAAUUAAUAUAAAGUAGUGUUAUUCAAACUAUAGAACAUAAUUAAAAUUAUAAUCAAAGUCUAAAAAGUUAUAAUGAAUUUUAAUUUAUUUUUUAAAUAAUUAGCUAAUGAUUUAAUGAAAAUUACUAUAUAUUAAAUUUCAACCUUUUAUCUAUUGUUUGAUAAACUAAACAAAAUUAAGGAUAGAAAAGAAAAUGAAUAUGGAAUUUAUAAUAUAAAAUUAUUUGAUAUAUGAAUCCAUGUGUUGGCUUGAUGGUCAGGCUGUUUACUAUCUCAAGUGUGGCCUGGGAUUGAAUUCCUCUAGUCGCGUUACUGUUAGAAUUUUAUUUACCCUUCUAUUGUGAUUCAUCAAAAAAAAUAUUUAAUAUAUUAUUAAACGUUAAUCACUAUACCAAAUACUCACACUUAAAUAUAAAGAAAAUAUUUGAUCAUUGACGUUUACAUGUUUUGUCAAAAUAACUCUAAUUAUAUUUUUAAGCAUUUUUAGCCAUCAACCUUUGAUUUUUUCUUUUCAAAUUGUUUUUCUAAUAAAUUUAAUAAAUAAAUUUCAAUUUCAAUUUUUUUUCAAAAAAUUUCAAUCUUUCUUAUAUUUGUUAAGUUUUUCUAAUGAGUUAAAUUUUUUUUAGGAUAAUUAUAUUAUUACAUCUUAUUAAAAAUAUUUUAAUAUGAAAUUUCACAUAAUUCUCGUUAAUUUAUAUUUUAAUUUAUUUUUUGUGAAUAUAAUUUCACUAAGAACAAAAAUUUAUGGCUAAAAAAGAUAUGGCUAAUGGCAUGAAAAGAGGAGAAAAUUAAAUGGUGGCCAGGCUGUUAAGAUGUGACUGGGGAUAGGGAUAGACUUCCUUUUAUUUUUUUUAUUUCCUUUAUGUUUGUAUAUUUCAAAUUUAUUGUCAUUUUUUGUUUUGUUUACUUCUAGCAAUGGGCUUCUGAUUUAGAAGUGGGUUCCCACAUCUGUUUUUUUUGUUUUCUAAAAAACACUGAGCCCAAUAUGUGUUGGAAAGUUUUGGUAGCUGUUUUUAUUUAUCAAAUAAUAGCCUAGUCAUUUUCUUUCAAAAUAAAAAUAAAAAAUAUAAGGGUAAAUUACACCAACAGUUACUCAAUUUUGGGGUAGCUGACAAAAUAGUCACCUAGGUUUCAUUUUAGUCACUCAAUUUUCAAAAAGUUACAAAACAGUCCCUUUUGUCGUUUUCCGUCACAGACGUCACAGCAAAGUGACAUGGCAAGUAACAACGUCCAAUGGCAGUCCAGCUGGCCGGUUAGUCACUUAGUCUAACUUUAUCAGCCUAUUGAAACACUAGUUUAGGGUUAGAAAAAAAAUAGUAAAAGAAGAAGAGGAGAAGGAAGAGGAGGAGGAGAAGAAGAAGGAGAAGAGGAAAAAUGGAGAUGCUUGAAGUGAUUCCAUUGUGCCAUUGUGGAAACCCAGCCAAAUUAAACACGUCUUGGUCCAAUGACAACCCAGGUAGGAGGUUUUCUGGGUGUAAGAAAUUUGGCAAUCGAUUUCGAAAACCAUGUCGAUUUUUCAGCUGACGCCCAAUUCAAGAAUUGUGUUGUUGGGUCUUCUAAAAAAAGUGAGGACAUUGGAGGAUGCAAGGAAGAGAGAGAGAAGAACCUGGUUAUUGGUGCUUGUAAUUGUAACAGUUUUGUUGUUUUUAAAAGCUUAAAAAUCAUCUUAUGUUCAUUGAAAACCAGCUUAUGUUUUGUAAUUUUGUUGUUGGUAAAUUGUUGCUUAUGUUGGUAUACAUGGUUGCUGGUAUAUUGUUGCUUAACAUAUGUGAUACAUGGCUGCUGGUAUACAUGGCUAACCAGCUCAUGUUGUUGUUUACAAACACUUGAAAGACUUGAAAUGGGAUAUUUUUGUUGAUUACAAAUUGUUUUGGAAUAUUUUUGUUGUUUAACAUAUGUUAUCCAUGACUGCUGGUAUACAUGGCUAACCAACUCAUGUUCUUGUUUACAAAUUGCUAGAACAAGAUUUAUACAUGGCUGCUGGUAUGCAUCGCUAACCAGCUCAUUUCAUUUGUAUUUCUCAAUACUCAUGUAUCAGAAAAAGACAAUAGAUGGAAAAAAACCUAUGCAUUUGUCAAAUUUUCACACGUUAGAAGAGAUAACAUAUGGAAAAAACAUAUGUAUUUCUCAAUUCUCAAUUCUCACACAUUUCUUAAUAGUCACACAGUUGUUAAAAAAUAUAACAGAUGGAAAAAAGAAACAUAUGCUAGAAGAGAAUAGAUAACAAAUAGCAUGGAUCAAUGCUCAUAUAUUAAGGUGAAAACACCAAACUGUUUACAAAAGGAAUAAGGGGCAAAAUAUUGCCAAAUUUUCCUACAAUUCACCACAAUUGAACAGAUGUGAAUUGUAGGGAAAUUUACAAAAAAAUUCAGUGACUAGCCUAAGUUUAUCAACAGUAGCAAUCAUAGGAAAAUUUAUAAAAAAAUUAUCUGCCAAGUUAAUAAAUCAGUAGCAGGCAAAUUUACACAUUUUCAAAAAGUUAACAAAAUGCAUUUUGUUCACAUCAUCAUCAAUAGUCUGUCAUGGAUGACUCUUGAGUAGAAGGCAUCCAUCUAACAGUGGUUGGUUUUCUCUUCAAUGGGAGCUUUUGUCUUAGGGUAGCUUGUUGAUGAGUUGGGGCAGUAGGUAACUGAGUUAGGGCAGCUUGUUGAGUUGGGGUACCCUCUUGCUGAUUUGGGGUAGCCUGUUGCUAAGUUGGGACACCAACUUUAUGUCUUUUAACCUACAAGAAUAAGAGAAAUUUGAAAAACAAACAAAUUCAUAAAUAGAAGUAUAUUGUUACUUAACUUAAGGCAAAUGACUUACUGGAAUGUUUUGGCCAACUUCCCCUUUGCAACUCAUCUUAUUGUGGCCUACUCUUUUGCAUUUACUGCACAUUAUCUCCAUCCCUCUCUUGCUCAACCUUUCUGUUUUUGUUCUUUCCUUCUCACCUUAGUAGGUUUGCCAGGUGACCUUCUUAGUGGAAGAGGCAAUAUUGGUAGCAUGUUUGACAAAGAGGCCCAUUGUUUAGCAUGCAUGCAAGGGAUACCAGUGAGAUCCCAAUUCCUGCAGGAGUAGAAAUUCUCAACUAAGUCCACCACAUGCUGGCUGCCUGGACCACAUUUAACCUAAUACUUGUCCCCACCAGCAUGUGAUGGAACACACCUAAAAAGCAGUCAGCAUGCUUAUUUAAAACAUAAUCACUAAACAAAUGAUACACACACCCCUAAAAAAAUAGCCCAUCAACAUGCAUAUUAUAAAAAAAAUACUCACUGCAUGCAUAUUAAAAAAUAGGUAACACACCAACAAUCACUGCAUGCAUAUUAAAAAAUAUUCAACACACCAACAAUCAGUGCAUGCAUAUUAAAAAACAUUCACUAAAAUAGCAUGUGAUCAGUAACAUGAAGUUAGAAUAUAGGCAUCAAAAAGAAUUUUUACCUUAAUAAGUCUUUUAUAUUGACAUCCACCUUUUUCUUGAUCUUUGGACACAACAUUCCAUUUUAUUUGUCAGCUCUUUCUUUCUUCUUGACAAUAAGCAACAUAAUCUUGGUCCUUAUUGUUUCCAUCAUGGUCAGAAUAGGUUUCCCUCUUGCUUCCAGUAUCAUCUGUUAGUAAACAAUAUAAAUGAUUAGUGAAUUGCUAAUUAUUAGUAAGAAACAUAAAACAUAGGGGUUUACCUUGUUAAAUGAUUCGAAAAGAUUAUUCACCUACAUGUCAGAAUGACUCCUAAUUGAGAAGUGAGACCUUAACCAGUGAGUAGGGUUCUUUUCCUUCAACCAAUCAUAAGCAUGCUGAUUGGUUUUCCUCAGUUCAUCCAUGGCAUCCUCAAACUCCCUUGUAGUGCUUGCUCUGGCAGUUUUCCAAAGCAAAUAUUUCAAUUUCUUUGUUCAAAAACUAGCCUUCUUGAAAUUGGCAUGUAGGUGCUUAACACAGUGUCUUGUUUCUGUAUUAGGAAACAAUAUACAUAUUGUUUAUACAAGUCCCUGCAAUUAAAAAAAAUAGUUUAAUUCUUUGACAAACCCUAAUCGAAACAACAUAAAAGAAUAAAUAAAUAGAGUUUUACCUUUUGUUUGUCAGACAUGAAAGAUAUCUGGUACGAGCCCAUAAUUUCCAAGUCUAUUGCAAGCAACUCUAAUAACCAAAGCCAUGAUGCCUGGUUUUCACUUUCGACAAUAGCAUAUGUAAGAGGAUAGAUGCCAUUAUUUGUAUCUAUCCCAACAGCUGCAAGCAAGUAGCCACCAUAGUAUCCCUUCAAAAAACAUCCAUCUAAACCUACUAUCCACCUACAACCAGCCUUAUAGCCAUCUUUGCAUGCCUGCAGACAGACAUACAUCCUUUGAAACAACCUGUUAUCCAAAUAACAAAUUGUUGUUGUUCCCUCAUUUUGGGUCCUAACCUCUAACAAAUACUCAUAAAUCUUCUCAUAUUGAGCCUUAUGAGCUCCUUCAAUUAAUUCGAAUGCCCUAAGUUUAGCCCUCUAAUUUGGUUAGUGAGACUAAGCAACAAAAAUCUCUUUUCACAUCUUGUUGUAAUGAUUUCAGAGAAUAAUCAGGAUCAGCAAUGAAUUUUUUUUAUAAUGUUCACCUAUCCAAGCUGAGGUUACAUUCCUAUUUUUAUAGACUUUAAAACAAGUAUGGUUAGCGUUUGAACUCCUAAUUUUCCAAGUCUGGUUAGUAGGGUCAUUAGGGUUUAGCCUAGAAGCCCAUAUGAACCAAGAACAUUUUUCACUGCAGACUGCCUUUAACCUUUUAAAAUCAUUUUUGAGAAACUUAAUAAAAUAACUAUUCAACCUACCAUACUACUUGGCAGCUUCUUUUAGACUGUCUUUAGACUUAAAUAACAUUCCAACCUUCAGUCUAGGAUUACUCAUGUCAUUCUCUAGGUUGAACUCAGGCCAAUUUUGGCCAUCCGAGUCAGACCCAUGUACACUAUCUAACCUCCCAGAAUCAUCACUAUCACACAGUUCAUCUACUUCUAUACCAUCCAUCUUUAAACCAUCUAAACUAACACUUUCAAAUGCAUCACUAUCACUACCAGACACAUCACUACCAGACAUGUUUUCUUCAUUCUCAUUAAAAUUGUUAUCAAUUAAACCUGCCAAACAAAGUACUCAUCGAUAAAGACAGACAACAUAGGCAAACACUUUAACCAUUUCUGUCAGACAAUAACAAAUACAAAAUACCGAAUAAUUUAAUACAAACACUUCUGUCAUGCACAUGGUAGACAACAACCAAUACAAAAAUUAAUUUAAUCAAACACAACUAUUUUUCUCAUGCACAUGGCAGACAAUAAUAGGCAAUAACCAGUACAAUAAAAAAGGUAAAUAACAAAUUUUGAUUUUGCCAUAUACAAUAGGAGCUUGGAUACAAACAAUGACAUAUAUACACAAUAAACAUCAGUUUGAUCAUGACAUUCAUACAAUGGCAGAUACAAACAAUGACAGAUAUACACAAUAAACAUCAGUUUGAUAAUGGCAUUUAUACAAUGGCAGAUACAAACAAUGGUAGAUAUACAUAAUAAGCAUCAGUUUGAUAAUGGCAUUCGUACAAUGGCAAAUACAAAUAAUAAAAAUCAUGCACAUGGCAUACAAAACACAUUAUAUGUCAUACACUUUAAAAACCAAACCCUAAUCUGUCAUGCACAUUAAUUAAUAACAAAUACAAUCAAAAUCGAAGUAACCCUAAAUCGAGAUCAAAAUUAAAUUCUAAUUCUAAAUCGAGAUCAAAAUCGAAAUUGAAAUCAAAAUCUAAAUCAGAAUCAGUGAGUGCUUCAAAAUUGUAAUCAAAAUCAAAAUAGAAAUCGAAAUCAAAAUCAAAAUCAAAAUCGAAAUUAAAAUUAAAACCGAAAUAAACCUAAUUAACUCUAAAUCCAAAUAAUAGCAUUGAAAUCCAAAAAAUUUAAAACUAAAUGCAACAACUUACCCGUUAAAGUGGAUGUAACACUAGUAGCUUCUCUUCUAUUGCCCAUUGUCGCUGACAAUCAAAAACACUGAAUGGUUUCUGGUUUGUCUUCUUUUCUCCCCAAACAAAAUAGACAAUCGUACCCUAAACCUUAUACCCUGUUAAUCGAUUAUUGAACUGAUUUCUAACCCUAAACUCUUCUUAAUCAAUUCUUAAUUCAGUUUAAACCCUAAAACCCCCAAAUCAUGAUUGAAAUUUCCCAAAUCGAUUUUCCUUUCCCCCAAAUCCCUUUAAACCUAAUCUGCUUCUAACCCUAAAACAUUUAACUCAUAACCCUUCAAUUUUUUCCCUAAACCCGCCCCAAACCAAGCACCCAUCAACUGUCGCCAACGUGGCAAGUUAACUUGCCACGUCAGUAAUUCUGUUAACACCCUAACGGUAACCGUUAAUCAGUGACUAUUUUGUCACUUUUUUAUAACGUUGGUGACUGUUUUGUAACUUUUUGAAAGUUGAGUGCCUGAAAUGAAACCUAGGUGACUGUUUUGUCAGCUACCCCAAAGUUAGAUGACUGCUGGUGUAAUUUACCCAAAAUAUAACUAAGGUCAUUUAAUCUUAAUGGCCAAAUUUUUCAUUAAAAAAAAACAACAACAACCUACACUGCAAACUAAUCACUUUUCAAUGAGAAUUGCAAAUUAAGUUUGAUGAAACUAAUACAAGGUUUAAACAUAAUCCUAAUCCUUAAUCAAAUGAUAGUAAAAUAGAGAUUAAACUUUACCAUGCAUACAUUAUUAGUUUCGAAAAUGGAUCUAAUGAAACAUUUCCUUCAUAUUUAAUUAAAACUUAAACCUGAACCACUUAAUUUUUGCUGAGUUAUUUGGUCUAACUGUGUGCUCAUUUCAGGUGUCAAAUCAUUCUUCCAAUCUCCAACCUUCCCUUUCCGAAAAUAUAUUUUGUUUUCAAUCUCCAGAUUUCCUUACCCUUCACGAUGUUUCCCACUUUUAUUCACUUCCAAGUUGCUUAUAUUCUUGAAACUACACAUCUUUACAAUUUUUUCAGGCAUCCUUUUUUGCGCUUCCUCUGAUGAAAACGGACAACCCAUAAACUCUGCCAAUUUCUUAAGAUACAAAACAGUAUCUUCAUUCAUUUUUUCAUAUUUCAAGAACAUAAACUUGUUCGGAUGUUCCAAGCUUGCUUUCCAGUAUCGCAGAACAUGGUCCCAAUAAGGUCCGUACCAACUUAUGCCUUCACAAAAUAACUCAAACGCUUCAUCAAGUUCAAUGGGUUGAGUGUUUUAGGAUUUGCAUACCUGGCACAGAUGUGAUACAUUGAAACAAAUGUAUCCUUG
This 9324-nucleotide long non-coding RNA is filed under the name Gossypium barbadense (sea-island cotton). Its description in RNAcentral is "long non-coding RNA (GBAR_LNC011893)". The record is from RNAcentral. Lineage: Eukaryota; Viridiplantae; Streptophyta; Magnoliopsida; Malvales; Malvaceae.